UAGUAGAAAUGCAAAAACACAGCUCCGGUUGGUAGUCCGGACACAUAGUAAUAUGUCAGUAACCUUCCCCUCCGGGAUGUCCAGUAUUUCUAAUUUUUUU
This 100-nucleotide non-coding RNA is filed under the name Bacillus cereus. RNAcentral describes it as "Azaaromatic sequence". It matches the Rfam family "azaaromatic riboswitch aptamer (yjdF RNA)". Lineage: Bacteria; Bacillati; Bacillota; Bacilli; Caryophanales; Bacillaceae. The record is from RNAcentral.